This is a long non-coding RNA of Pecten maximus, 432 nucleotides long. RefSeq lists it as uncharacterized. The record is from RefSeq and is a predicted model, not a curated record. The transcript is spliced from 3 exons. Lineage: Eukaryota; Metazoa; Mollusca; Bivalvia; Pectinida; Pectinidae.
AACUGGCCUGUCCUCAGUAUCAUCAACAGUAACUGUCUAUUCCGUGGCGGAUUUACACCACCAUAACAUCACUCGACUACCGGACUUGAAUUAUUAAUUAACAGUGAGCACAUCAAAGUGCGGGAAAAAUAUGAAAACUACAUUUAUUUACAUCUGUGUUUUGCUGGUGGCAGUGACGACGGCUCUUCGGCGAAAGAUCGACGGAGACUGUCUAGAAAGGCCACCGUCCGGUUCAUGCUGGCCCAGGAUGACCAGGUAUUUCUACAGCGCCGAGAGGAAGGCGUGUUUUCCCUUCCUCUGGAGUAAAUGUGACGAUACAGAUGAAGUGAAUGUGUUUGAAACAGAGCGAGAUUGUUUAAGUAUUUGUGAUCAUUGAUUUUUCUUCCAUUUUUCAUUAAACCAAAUCAUGAAUAAAGUAUAUACUUUUAGCAA